Molecule: ribosomal RNA, 520 nt
Filed under: uncultured Chloroflexota bacterium
Lineage: Bacteria; Bacillati; Chloroflexota
Description: bacterial SSU rRNA
Rfam family: Bacterial small subunit ribosomal RNA
Source: RNAcentral
UACGGGAGGCAGCAGCAAGGAAUUUUCGGCAAUGGGCGCAAGCCUGACCGAGCAACGCCGCGUGGUGGAUGACGGCCUUCGGGUUGUAAACACCUUUUGGGGGGGACGACUGCGACGGUACCCCCCGAAUAAGCCCCGGCUAACUCUGUGCCAGCAGCCGCGGUAAGACAGAGGGGGCAAGCGUUGUCCGGAGUUACUGGGCGUAAAGCGCACGCAGGCGGCACGGCAAGUGGGGUGUGAAAGCGGGCGGCUUAACCGCCCGAGGCCAUCUCAGACUGCCGCGCUCGAGCCGUUCAGAGGUCCCUCGAAUUGCCGGUGUAGUGGUGAAAUGCGUAGAGAUCGGCAGGAAGACCCACGGGGAAGCCAGGGGACUGGGAACGUGCUGACGCUCAGGUGCGAGAGCGUGGGGAGCGAACCGGAUUAGAUACCCGGGUAGUCCACGCCGUAAACGAUGAUGACUCGACCUGUGGCGGGUUCAACCCCGCUGCGGGUCUCAGCUCACGCGGUAAGUCAUCCGCCU